RNAcentral lists this ribosomal RNA (489 nucleotides) under uncultured Bacteroidota bacterium. Its description in RNAcentral is "bacterial SSU rRNA". It matches the Rfam family "Bacterial small subunit ribosomal RNA", at positions 355 to 841 of the family's 1533-position model. Lineage: Bacteria; Pseudomonadati; Bacteroidota. The record is from RNAcentral.
UAAGGAAUAUUGGGCAAUGGAGGCAACUCUGACCCAGCCAUGCCGCGUGGAGGAUGAAGGCCCUCUGGGUUGUAAACUUCUUUUACCUGGGACGAAACCACCUUUUUCUAAGGGUGUUGACGGAACCAGGGGAAUAAGCACCGGCUAACUCCGUGCCAGCAGCCGCGGUAAUACGGAGGGUGCAAGCGUUAUCCGGAUUCACUGGGUUUAAAGGGUGCGUAGGCGGGCAGGUAAGUCCGUGGUGAAAUCUCCGAGCUUAACUCGGAAACUGCCAUGGAUACUAUUUGUCUUGAAUACUGUGAAGGUGAGCGGAAUAUGUCAUGUAGCGGUGAAAUGCUUAGAUAUGACAUAGAACACCAAUUGCGAAGGCAGCUCACUGCGCAGUGAUUGACGCUGAGGCACGAAAGCGUGGGGAUCAAACAGGAUUAGAUACCCGUGGUAGUCCACGCCCUAAACGACUGGAUACUCGACAUACGUGAUAUGACUAUG